RNAcentral lists this unclassified non-coding RNA (496 nucleotides) under Hevea brasiliensis (rubber tree). The record is from RNAcentral. Lineage: Eukaryota; Viridiplantae; Streptophyta; Magnoliopsida; Malpighiales; Euphorbiaceae.
GGGAGGGUGCCUAUGAGGCAUUCCUUUCACUGGUCAGCAGAGAAGCUGUAUUUUGAGGAGGAGCCUUUACUACGUCAUCUAGAGCCUCCUCUAUCCAUUUACCUUGAAUUGGAAAAACUUAAGGUCUAUGAUAAUAUAAAGUAUACUCCAUCCCGAGACCGUCAGUGGCACCUCUAUACUGCUGUAGACAAGCAGAGUCCAAUCCAGAGGAUGUUUCUAAGAACACUUGUUAGACAAUCAACAUCAGAUGACAGUUUACUAGCGUAUCAGGGAUUGAAUCAGGGAACAACUCAUUCCCCUCUGGCUUUGUCUCUCACCUCAAGAAGCAUUUUGAGGUCCUUAACAUCGGCACUGGAAGAGCUUGAACUUAAUCUCCAUAAUACAACUCUCAAAGUUGACCAUGCUCAUAUGUACUUGUAUAUUUUACGAGAGCAAGAGAUAGCUGAUCUGUUACCAUACCAUAAGAAGGCAGACCUAAAUAAUGAGCACAAAGAGG